AAAGAGAUCGAUCUCUCACCUCUAAACCUAGCGCCGCCAUGCCACGCCGCCUUCGCUGCCGAGCUCCUCUCCUUCCCACCCCGUACUCGCCAUCGUAGGUCCACCGCCCUGCGCUCGCCGGCCGCCAGCAGCAGCCCCGGGGACGCCAUCCUCCAGGCGGCGGCCCAGCCCCAGUACGCCCGUCCUCCAGGCGGCGGCCCAGCCUCACGAACACGGUGAUUUUGGAGGCCAUAAGGGAUCCUGCGAUCGAGCGCACAAGGGCUGGUCACUAGAUCUUUAGCAAUAGCUUGGUCGGUUCAUCUAUAGAUUAUGGACACUCACGUAUGCAGGUGUUUGAUAAACAACCUCUGAGAAUACCCUGACAAUACAAGAUGAAACCUUUCUCAUGUUAUCUGGUAAAGAGAGCUCCCUGGAUGGAUAUAUUAUCAUGUUUGUAUGUCUCUAUACUUAAUAUGGUUACAUGACAUCUACGAGACUAGAUUGAAUUUCUGCAGUGCAUGUUUACCUCGAUGUGAAAAAACGGAUUUUAAAGGCGGCAACCACAAGGAUAAACUAGAGAGGCAGAGAAAGCAAGGAGCUAUUGUUCCAUUAUCAGCAUGUAGAUACUACAAGUCACAUAUGUUUGAACUAGUUUGUGAGACAUGUAAUUAUUUUAUAGACAAUGUGUACAAUUGAGUUUGUAAACUACUACUGGCUCCUUCUCACUGUAAUGGUGUAAUACAACAUUAUUAUUUUGUGCGAUGACAUACAAUUUUUUAAUAUAU
This is a long non-coding RNA of Triticum dicoccoides, 764 nucleotides long. RefSeq lists it as uncharacterized. Lineage: Eukaryota; Viridiplantae; Streptophyta; Magnoliopsida; Poales; Poaceae. The transcript is spliced from 5 exons. The record is from RefSeq and is a predicted model, not a curated record.